AUUGCACAAUGGGGGAAACCCUGAUGCAGCGACGCCGCGUGAGUGAAGAAGUAUCUCGGUAUGUAAAGCUCUAUCAGCAGGGAAGAAGAAAUGACGGUACCUGACUAAGAACCCCCGGCUAACUACGUGCCAGCAGCCGCGGUAAUACGUAGGGGGCAAGCGUUAUCCGGAUUUACUGGGUGUAAAGGGAGCGUAGACGGAAUCGCAAGUCUGAUGUGAAAAUCCGGGGCCCAACCCCGGAACUGCAUUGGAAACUGUAUUUCUAGAGUGUAGGAGAGGCAAGUGGAAUUCCUGGUGUAGCGGUGAAAUGCGUAGAUAUCAGGAGGAACACCAGUGGCGAAGGCGGCUUGCUGGACGAUGACUGACGUUGAGGCUCGAAAGCGUGGGGAGCAAACAGG
RNAcentral lists this ribosomal RNA (398 nucleotides) under uncultured bacterium. RNAcentral's name for it is "bacterial SSU rRNA". It matches the Rfam family "Bacterial small subunit ribosomal RNA", at positions 363 to 776 of the family's 1533-position model. The record is from RNAcentral.